RNAcentral lists this ribosomal RNA (435 nucleotides) under uncultured bacterium. RNAcentral's name for it is "partial 16S ribosomal RNA". It matches the Rfam family "Bacterial small subunit ribosomal RNA", at positions 29 to 507 of the family's 1533-position model. The record is from RNAcentral.
AGCGAACGCUGGCGGCAGGCUUAACACAUGCAAGUCGAGCGGGCACUUUCGGGUGUCAGCGGCGGACGGGUGAGUAACGCGUGGGAACGUGCCCUCUGGUUCGGAAUAACUCAGGGAAACUUGAGCUAAUACCGGAUACGCCCUUUUGGGGAAAGGCUUGCUGCCGGAGGAUCGGCCCGCGUCUGAUUAGCUAGUUGGUGAGGUAACGGCUCACCAAGGCGACGAUCCGUAGCUGGUCUGAGAGGAUGAUCAGCCACACUGGGACUGAGACACGGCCCAGACUCCUACGGGAGGCAGCAGUGGGGAAUAUUGGACAAUGGGCGCAAGCCUGAUCCAGCCAUGCCGCGUGAGUGAUGAAGGCCUUAGGGCUGUAAAGCUCUUUUAUCCGGGACGAUAAUGACGGUACCGGAGGAAUAAGCCCCGGCUAACUUCGUG